This is a long non-coding RNA of Alligator mississippiensis (American alligator), 4882 nucleotides long. RefSeq lists it as uncharacterized. The record is from RefSeq and is a predicted model, not a curated record. The transcript is spliced from 2 exons. Lineage: Eukaryota; Metazoa; Chordata; Crocodylia; Alligatoridae.
UGCAGAGGAUGAGAUUGAUGGAUACUUUCAUUCUCUGCAGGACCAGACACCUAGUGCAGAGACAUCCCGGGAGAGUCUCAGGACAGGCCCAGGGUCACCUCCAGAGCUAGACAGCGUGCAGCUGUGACUGCUUCCCCAGCACAACUGGGGAACAGAUACGAAGCUCUGGCAGCACUGGAAGAUGAUGCAGCAGAGGAAGCCACAGGGGAAGACACGUCUGCAACAAACACCAAGCAGGCUGAGUGACAACUGAGCAGCCACAGGAAGAGAUGCCGGGUCAUUGUGGUGGGUGACUCCUUCCUGAGAGGCACGGAGGGGCCUAUAUGUCAACCGGAUCCCAUGGCACAAGAGGUUUGCUGCCUACCCAGAGCCAGGAUCUGGGACAUCACUGUGAGGAUUCCUGACCUCAUCCGGCUGUCUGAUUACUAUCCCAUGGUCCUUGUCCAUGUGGGCACAAAUGAUGCGGCCACGAGUAGUCUGGACAGUGUCAUGAGUGACUACAGAGCUCUGGGGGCCUAGGAAUGGGGGCACAGGUGGUCUUCUCAUCCAUCCUUCCAGUCAGCAGUCUGUCAGCAUCAGGACUCCUGCAUCAGGGAAGUUAACCUGUGGCUCUGGAGUUGGUGCCAUCAUGGAGGUUUUGGCUUCUACAACCAUGAUGCGCACUUCCAUGAGAGGCAUCCUGGGAUGAGAUGGUCUUCAACUCUCUUCUAAAGAGUCUGCUUUCUUACAGGUUGGCUGAUAUCUUAUGAAGGGCUUUAAACUAGGUUCAUCAGAGGAUGGGGAAGCAGAGGAUAAGGAGAACCUAGGAUCAGCGAGCCACGAGCAAUGCACUGGAUCAGCCCAAGUAAGCAGUAAGGAAACAGAAAACCGAGGUCCCUGCUGAGCAGAAUAUCUAGAAUAAAACUGCUUGGACAGAGCCCAAAUCCAGAGCUUGGAUUUCCAAAGCAUCUUCUUCCUGAAGGAAGGAGGAGUCAUUCUCAGGGUACUUUAAAAGCUGUGCAUUCGGGAGUCACUUCACCAUUGAAACACAGCCGGUGCUGGGGUAACGUACAGUGGCUUUUUACCAGCAUAUGACCACGCUGAGUUGCAUUCUUAUUUAGGACCAGAAGUAGAGACCUGGCCUGAGAAAGAAACAGAAGGAGGUUUUAUGCAGCGUUGGAAAUAGUGGAGUUUGUCUCACCGCCCUGCAGCUCCCUUCACUUUGCAUGGGCAGUGAAAGGAGACCGCAACCUGUCUCAGAAUGAAAUCUGACCAAGCAAAGAAAACCAUGCCUGGCUUUCAGGAAUUAGCCACCACCUAAACUGAAACCGCCAGGCUCUUGGGAAGCUUGUUCUGACAGCACAUAGCAGUUGAGCAGGCUGUGGAGUGACCUGUCAAGAGGAAUGAGCAAUGGUGGAAGCACUCUGGGAAAGGCCAGGCUGGUGGGCAGGCCUAGACCUUUCAAUAACAUUAUUCUGCAGGGGGACAGGCAGCCCAGCCUGGGAUGUCUCUUCCAAGUCUCAGCACUAUGAAUCAUGCCGGCAGACCAAACCUCACAGACAGCGCAAGCCAGCCUCAGAGAGGGGAAUGUGAAGGAUGAAAAGAAAGGUGAUGAUGGGAGAGGAGGGGCAGGUGGAUUUGAGGUGUGGGCUAAUGGACUGCAGGGCGCCCAGCCUGCAGGUCCAGUAUCUCCCGGUAGAUGAGACAUUUUCCUUUGAAUGUCAUUCGUUGGCCUGUGUGAAAUGGUGGAUGAGAUUUGGCCCACAGUGGCUGAAUCCAAGCCAGCAUUGCAAUAUUCUUAGGUAAUCGAGUGGAGUGGUUUGUGACAGGCAAAUGUUAAUUCCUCCAAAGGGGACAAUCUACCAGCCAGCAAUAAGGCUGGUGUUAUUGUACAGCUCAGAGUAUUGGGCAAUGAAGAGAAAAGCAGUUGUCCAUGAUGAAGGUGAGGGAGUUGAGGAUGUUGAGGGAGAUUUGUAGAGUCAAAGUUGGCAGAAAGACCAUGAGGGAACUAAGGAAGUGUGGCCAGAGGCAAUGGUGACCCCUGAUAGAGGAAUAGCUGAGUGAGAGCAGACUGAGAGAGUUUGGGCACAUAGACAAAAGGCUGGAGGAGGAGGUGGGAGAAAAAGGUCCAGCAGGGGAGUCAGGGGCAGGAGAAAGAGGGGAAGAGCUGUGAGGACAUGGUGUGGGUAUAUAAAACCACACCUGAGAAGGGAUGGCAAGGGACAGAAAUCUGUGAAGAACAAGGAUCCAUGGAGAUGAUCCCAUUGAAUGGGGGCAUGCUCGGAAGAAGAGGAAGAAUAAGACUUGUUAUUAUUGUCUAUUAUUUGUGUUACCAUAGUGCCAAGGGGCCAGAUAUUGUAAAAACAAAAUAAAUGAGCUCUUUAGACUGGAUAGCUCACUGGGCAAUUAAAACAAGGUGGAAGAAGUUGGGGGUGGGGUGUUGGAAGAGGGACAGAGACACUGAGGAAAGGUUCAAAAAGGAAGGGAAUGAAAAGGAAGAAGCGGAUUACUUCUAAUGUGGUGUAAAUGCCUUAUAUCAUUGCAAAAUAACCUGGCCAGAGCAGAAACCAGCCCCACAGCCCUUGCGGCACUGCGAGAGCCAUUGCCCCAGGGAGGGCCUCCCCAGGGCAGCACAAAUGCUUAGCACAAGCAUAACAAAUGAAUGUCUCAUGGACUGCGCUGAGGAGAGCAGAGCUCAUCCAUUUAAGCCUCAUUAGCAGUUAGGAUUUUGUAACAAAACCCUGGGAAAAAAAAAUGCUAUUGCUGUAAUUUCUCCUGCUCUGAUAUUCCAGUCAGGUUGAAAACAAUGCACACGAAUAACCCCCAAGUGAACAUCUGGGGGAAGGUGAAGUUCAAACUGCAGCUGAACCAAGCUGGCCCAGCGAGAAACCCUUAAUAAUGCAGGAGCAAUUUACCAGCGCUUCCCAUCGACGUUCUCCUGGCAGCAGACUCAGCACUGGGAGUGACACUUGUAGUCUGGAAAUUAAGAGUUGCUCAAGUAAACAGUCCUUGCAGCCUCUUGGGAUGCGGUGAGAAGGGCAAUAAAGGUAAAGACCAGCAACAUUCAGGAGCUAGAGAAAAUCUGCUUCAUACAGGAGCACAGUUUCCACUGGAGGAGGGUACUCCCUGCGGCCACUUCAUGCAGGGCACGCUGCUGUCCACCUGUCUGGCUGCUCCUGACUGCGACGCAGCACUGAGCUGACUGUGCUGAGUGUACACAGCCUAAUAUCUCCCAAAGUUAUUUAUUCCAGGAGUUUCUCUGCAAGAUUUAUCUCUCUGGCAGAUGGGAAAGGGGUUUUGUGCAGUUAACAAUAAAUAGAAAUGUCAGGCUAAUAAAAGCCAAAAUAUUUAUUUUAACAGUUGGAAGCCUGCUAUGUGGCAUGCUGGUGUAUAUCAUGGCAUGCAUAAUGGAGGAGUCUUUGCAUUCAUUCCUCACACUGCUAAGUUGUGUUGCCCAUCUUCAGAUUGCCAGCGUUAUAUAGUCUUGUUGACUGUUUUGAGGCCUUUCCAGCUGAUCAUUUUUCUUGAGACAGGAACAAGUGUUUGCGCUGAUGGCUUCCCCGGAGUCUACUGCCGCAUGCAGAGAAAAUCUGUCUUGCCUGAGAAGGGCAUUCACACCAUGACAGGUUGGCCAAAAAGCCAAAUGACUGCUGUUGUUGCAGUCAAGGAGAGAAGUCCUUGCCAUAGAUAGCAAAGGGCUAAAAGCCUGAUGUGUGGCUUGUGGGGGGUGAAGGACAGUUUCUUUCAGUUCUUGGUCCAAACACACCAAACCUCUUCCACCACCAGUCAAGCUCUAACCUCACCGAGAUAACUGAUAGCAAGCCACAUUCCUUCUGCUGCUGCUAGGGUUGGAUCAGACCAUCCAGGUCCAUGUGAUGCGUUUCUCUUAGUAGCAAAUAUCUGUUGCAAGGCUAAGGCGAUGGCAUGUUGCAAAAGUAGAUGCAAUAAUGGUUUCUCUCAGACUCUCCCAGGGUGGAAUAGGCUCACACUUGGGUGCUGAAGUUUACCAUUAAGGUUGUCAAAUAAUUUGUAUCAGUUAAUAGAUUUGUUUUUAAACUGAUGCCAAUAUGAUUGUAUUGCUGCUGCAGUGAGUUUCAGAAAAGGGAAGCUGUGUGCACUGGAAAGCAAAAGCACCAGGAAAUUUGGAAUAUAUUUAAUAGAGUUAUCUGAGAAAGAAUGUCAUUGGCACUGGGUCAACACCAACUCAUGGAAAUCACUGGGGCUCAGGGCAGGUGCUGCAGCUUACUGGACCCGUGCCCUGUUCACUGACCUGCAGGACCGUAGUCCAAAAUGGCAAAAUGAAAUGGAAGGGAAUGAUACUGUUUUACCUGUAUCCUUAAUACCCUUUCGCUUUCCCCUGCACUGUCUGACCUUUGCCAUGCUGCUUUCCAGAAGCAACUUUAAAUUAAAUGAUUGUAAAGUUUCCUCUGCAACCAAUCCCCUUUCCUCACAACCCAAGCUGGCUGAAGGCACAGAACACCAACAUGCAAAAUCCCCCUGAUUACAGAGCCAGGCAGACAGGCAAGCUGGGGAAAUCACGCCUGACAUUGGGCAGAGCCUGACUACACCUUCUUGCCUCUUAGUGCACUGGAAUAUGCAAAUAUUAAUAAUACCAUGUCCUGUAAUGUGAUUUGUGGUAUGUGCUUGUGUUAUAAUUAUUGCAAUAAGUGGAAUGUGUAAGUUUAGAAUUGUGAUGUCAGGAUGCUCUUGCUUGCGCGUGUCCAACUCAACCCUUAGCUCAGGAAUGCAAGUUUCCUAAGAGAAAUGUGUUGUCCCUCCUGUGCUGGCAUCCCACCUGGCAGCACCUUGAUACCUGUCUGUCUCUCUCAGGAGGAGUUUAUGGGAUCCUAGAUAACGUAUGUCAUCAGCGAUCCUCAAUAAAUCUUCAUUACUGUUUGCCUCA